AUGUCCAGCCGCCCCUCCUCUCCUCACACAGAACGGCGCAGCUCCCACCUUGAAGACCGACCGGCAGGGAGGACGGCGGCAGACGGCCGCGCGACGCGACCCCAUCCAGGCGGCGGGCAGGAACCACCGGCAAGCUGGAGCAUCUACCGUCGACCAGCUAGCCACCAAGCUCAAGCGGCAUCCAUCUGCCGCAAGUCUCUUCAGAUGGAUGAUCAAGGCAGGAUGAUAGACUUUGGUAUUCAAGGCCAUGAGUUCAGUCAAAGGACUACAAUACCUUGUCCAAAUAUUGGUCACCAUCAGGACAAUGGACUUGAUGACCUGGAGUUUACUCAAGGAGCUACAGGACAUCAAACAAAUAUUGGUCAGGGCAAUGGACUUGAUGACUUGGAGUUCAGUCAGAGGAUCAUAGGACGUCGUCCUAAUUUUGGUACGCUGCAGCGUUGUGAUGACCUCGACUUUGACCAAAGGAGUGCAAGGCAGCAUGAGGAUAGUGUUUCAAAGUCCAGAAAGAGUCUUCCUAGAGCCAAGUGGAGUCACCAAAUGAAGCUAUAUCUUAUUCAACAGCUGAAAGAUUUUAAUGUCCCAGGUUAUAGAACUCAGAAUGCAUGGAGUAAAGAGGCAUGGAAUAAGAUUGUGGAUAACAUAAACAAAAAGUUUGGCUUGUCACUAGAUGUUACCAAAGUGAAACAAAAGGAACAGGAUCUGAAGAAAGACUUCCGUGCUGUGAAAGAUUUGGCAGCUGAGAGUGGCUUUGGUUGGGACCGCCUCGGAAUGAAAGUUGUUGCCCCAGAUGCCGUAUGGGAAUCAUUUGCGGAGCGUCGUAACAAGGAUGCACUCAUAUGGAGAGACAAACACUUUCCAUAUUAUGAUGAUUUAUUUGCAUUGCAUGAAGGACGGUAUGCUGAAGGAAGGAAUAGGCUGCUAGGUAGUAUUUUGGCAUAG
RNAcentral lists this ribosomal RNA (942 nucleotides) under Triticum aestivum (bread wheat). RNAcentral describes it as "partial small subunit ribosomal RNA". The record is from RNAcentral. Lineage: Eukaryota; Viridiplantae; Streptophyta; Magnoliopsida; Poales; Poaceae.